UUGUUUUUUAUCAAAAUUAUACAUGCAAGCCUCCACACCCCAGUGAGAAUGCCCACGAACCCCUAAACAGCAAACCGGAGCAGGCAUCAGGAUCCAACCCGCACUUAGCCAAAGACGCCUUGCGAACGCCACACCCACACGGGCUUACAGCAGUAAUUAACAUUAAAACAUGAGCGAAAGCUCGACUUAGUUAUGAUCCAUACGGUCGGUAAAUUUCGUGCCAGCCACCGCGGUUAUACGAAAGACCAAAAACAAUGACCAACGGCGUAAAGCGUGACUAGAGACCACACCCAAUUAAAGGAAAAUAGCCCCAUAGUUGUAAAACACCCCCGCAUGCUAGAAUCACAACAACGCCUUUAAACCCUCUUUACCUCACGAAAACUAAGAAACAAACUGGGAUUAGAUACCCCACUAUGCUUAGCCCUAAACAUAGACAGCACAAACACAGUGCCCUCCGCCAGAGGACUACAAGCGUAAAGCUAAAAACUCCAAGGACUUGGCGGUGCUUCAAACCAACCUAGAGGAGCCUGUCCUGUAAUCGAUACCCCACGUUCUACCUCACCCCUCCUAGCCAACCAGCCUAUAUACCGCCGUCGUCAGCCUACCUUAUGAAAGCAAUAAAGUGGGCAAAAAAGUUAUUUACUAACACGUCAGGUCAAGGUGUAGCACACGGAGCGGCAGAGAUGGGCUACAUUUUUUCAAAGAAAAAACACGAACAGUAAACUGAAACACCCACUCGAAGGCGGAUUUAGUAGUAAAAUAAGAAAGAACACUUAUUUUUAAACCUGCUCUGAAGCGCGCACACACCGCCCGUCACCCUCAUCA
Molecule: non-coding RNA, 825 nt
Filed under: Glaphyromorphus punctulatus (fine-spotted mulch-skink)
Lineage: Eukaryota; Metazoa; Chordata; Lepidosauria; Squamata; Scincidae
Source: RNAcentral